UACGUAGGAUGCGAGCGUUGUCCGGAAUUAUUGGGCGUAAAGAGCACGUAGGUGGCCUUUUAAGUUCGAUCUUAAAGACCGGGGCUCAACCCCGGGAAUGGAUUGAAGACUGGGAGGCUAGAGGAUGUUAGAGGACGGUGGAAUUCCCAGUGUAGCGGUGAAAUGCGUAGAUAUUGGGAGGAACACCAGUGGCGAAAGCGGCCGUCUGGAACAUUCCUGACACUGAGGUUCGAAAGCUCGGGGAGCAAACAGG
RNAcentral lists this ribosomal RNA (253 nucleotides) under uncultured bacterium. RNAcentral's name for it is "partial 16S ribosomal RNA". It matches the Rfam family "Bacterial small subunit ribosomal RNA", at positions 524 to 776 of the family's 1533-position model. The record is from RNAcentral.